Peromyscus maniculatus bairdii (prairie deer mouse) is the source of this 891-nucleotide non-coding RNA. NCBI's taxonomy places the organism in Eukaryota, Metazoa, Chordata, Mammalia, Rodentia, Cricetidae. The record is from RefSeq and is a predicted model, not a curated record.
UCAUUUAGACUCCUUCCUGUCUAAAGCGUUCUGUUUCUUACGUCCAGUUGGUCCUUGGCUUUCCCGCACGAGCUUGAGUUUGUUUGGGGGUUUCUCAACAUUUUCCUAUCUUUUUGAAUUGUUUCUUUCGGUAAGACAAGUGCCUGGUCUCUGUCUUGCUCCUUUUUCUGCCUCUUCCUUGUCUGCUGCAUACCUGGUGCUCUUCAUCCUCUGAUUCUAUUUAUUCUCUCCUCCUUGGCUCGCAUUUCUUUAUCUCUGGCCCCUUAUUUCCUCUCCUCCCGUUCCCAUCUCGAUGCCCUUUGACCACACAUCCUCUCCCGCCGCCGGAGCCUGCUGAAGACACAGAGGCGGGACCAUGCUGGAAGGAUGGAGGUGGCCAGUUGCCCUGGAAGGGACACCCACUUAGGCCAAUGACUUCCCCAUCCCCUGCGCCACAGAGGGCCUCCACCGGAGCAAGGAAGGGAGCCACACAAAGGGAAGGAAGAAGGAGGAAAUAAAGGAGGGCUGCCCAUUUGUUGUUGAUUUUGAACCGGAGUCUCAGGGAAAACACCUUAGCUGUUCAAAUUCUUCAAAAUAACAAUAAGCAGGUUCUCUUCACACAUGCGUCUGUUUUGACAAACGAAGACUCCCCGGAGGACGAGGGCUGUCACCUGGCCUCUGCCUUAACCACAGACUGAAGGAUUUAACUGGCUCUCCACUUUCUAUGGAAAGGCAACCAACCACCAACAGGCCCUGUGUUCUCUGGAGAACAAAAAGAAGAAGAAAGAGAAAGAAAAAAGCAAAGCAAACAAAAUCUCUGGAACAAAGAAGACGCCAUGAACUCUUAUUAUUUUAUCAUGUAAAGGUCACACACUAGAAUAAACAGAGGUUUACUCCUACUAUAUUUUCUGA